Molecule: ribosomal RNA, 245 nt
Filed under: uncultured Actinomycetales bacterium
Lineage: Bacteria; Bacillati; Actinomycetota; Actinomycetes; Actinomycetales
Description: partial 16S ribosomal RNA
Rfam family: Bacterial small subunit ribosomal RNA
Source: RNAcentral
UGCUCGAGUGGCGAACGGGUGAGUAACACGUGAGUGACCUGCCCUUGACUUUGGGAUAACUUCAGGAAACUGGGGCUAAUACCGGAUAGGAGCUCCUGCUGCAUGGUGGGGGUUGGAAAGUUUCGGCGGUUGGGGAUGGACUCGCGGCUUAUCAGCUUGUUGGUGGGGUAGUUGCUUACCAAGGCUUUGACGGGUAGCCGGCCUUAGAGGGUGACCGGCCACAUUGGGACUGAGAUACGGCCCAG